UCUGCACCCAAACCCAAAGGCCCCCCCCUGUCCGUGGGGGGGUCUUGUCUGGCGUGCAAACAGGAAACGGACCCUUGUCGCCUUUCUGUCGCUGCCGUGCCGCAGAAUGUGAAACCAGGGGUCAACACGC
This is a small nucleolar RNA of Cyclopterus lumpus (lumpfish), 130 nucleotides long. NCBI's taxonomy places the organism in Eukaryota, Metazoa, Chordata, Actinopteri, Perciformes, Cyclopteridae. The record is from Ensembl.